Molecule: ribosomal RNA, 291 nt
Filed under: uncultured bacterium
Lineage: Bacteria
Description: partial 16S ribosomal RNA
Rfam family: Bacterial small subunit ribosomal RNA
Source: RNAcentral
GACAUCCUCGGGGGGCAGCAGGGAGGAAUAUUGGUCAAUGGGCGGGAGCCUGAACCAGCCAAGCCGCGUGAGGGAAGAAGGUACAGCGUAUCGUAAACCUCUUUUGUCAGGGAACAAAGGCGGGGACUAGUCCCCGGAUGAGGGUACCUGAAGAAAAAGCAUCGGCUAACUCCGUGCCAGCAGCCGCGGUAAUACGGAGGAUGCGAGCGUUAUCCGGAUUUAUUGGGUUUAAAGGGUGCGCAGGCGGCCUGUUAAGUCAGCGGUAAAAGCCCGGGGCUCAAGCCCGGCGAG